AUGAGGAAGGGUGGCGUCCCUGAGCUCUGUGCCGUGAUGAUGCCUGCGAUGGCUGA
RNAcentral lists this small nucleolar RNA (56 nucleotides) under Pyrococcus abyssi GE5. Its description in RNAcentral is "PABsR59". The record is from RNAcentral. Lineage: Archaea; Methanobacteriati; Methanobacteriota; Thermococci; Thermococcales; Thermococcaceae.